GCGGUUAUGAAAUAAUAUGGUAAAAGAUUUGAUCAAGAAAGAAAAAUAAUUCACAAAAUUUAAUGUAGACAAAUAUAAUUUAAUUAAGUAGAUUGUUUUAACAAAAAAUAUAAAGUUUAAUGUGAUAAUAAUAACAAUAAUCGCAACAAUAAAAAAAUUAAUUAUAUUUUUUUUGGUUAAGUAGUUUAUAAUGACUUGACUCAGAAAUUUUAAGAGUGGGGAAAUGAAAAAUCUGUUUCGAACUUUAAACCAUACAAUCAUCUUUCAUAAAAUAUUUUUUUAUGGUUUAAAUUGUGAUCACUUGCGUAGCCAAAUAGUCUUCUAUAAAAUCAUUAAGCCCGUGAGUCUGUCAUAGACCUUUGUCGAUUAACCUGAUCUAUUUUUGCCAUCACCUGUUACUGUUAGUUACUUCUCAUAAUCGUCUUUCUCUAUAAAUUUUGACUCAUAGAUUUUUUCUUUUAUUAUUAUGAGAAAAAUGAAUAUGCGCCGACAUAUUGUUAAAUCAUUUUACACUAUUAACCAAUAACAAUCAUGUAUUCCGCCACAUUACCCCACUUCACUCGAAUUUCCUGAUAUGAUGUAAAAGUUUAAAUUAUUUUUAUUGAAUGUCAGUGUAAAAUUAAUUUACGGUGCAUAUCUUUUAAACUACAUCGCGUGAAUUGAUUGAAUGCACGUGUGAAAAAACAUUACACUAUCGGAAAUGAUUGUGUCGAAACACCGUUACGCCGAGACAUUAAAAAUUAUUAAAAUAAUUGCAAUUAUGUAUGAAGAAACAAUUCCCUCAAUAGUCAUGAUAAUAGUAUGUUCAAUAGUAAUUAUCAUUCAAAACAAACUCUUAUUCUACAAGAAAAAAGAUAAGAAAUGUAAAAACUGCCUCUUGUCUGCGUGCAAACAAAUAUACUUUAGCUAAUGAAUUUGUUUUAACAAAAACUACAAAAUCUAAUGUGAUAAUGGUUGAAUUUACAAUUUAAGAGUGGUAAAGUAGGAAAUCCAGUUCGAACUCUGAUCCCUAUAAUAAUUCCAUAAAAUAUUUUUCUAUGGUUUGAAGUGUGACCUAACUAGCUAAAUAGUAAAUUAGCCCCGAUAUUCUGUUGUAGACCUUUGUCGGUUGGCCUGAUCUAUUUUCACCAUCACUUUUACAGUUCGUUACUUCUCAUUAUCGUCUUUCUCUAUAAAUUUUGACUAAUAUAUUUUUUUAUUAUCACAGAGAAAAAAUGAAUAUGACCCGACAUUGUUAAAUAAUUUUACCCUAUUGAUCAAUAACAAUCAUAUAUUCCGUCACAUUACCCCACUUCACUCGAAUUUCCUGAUAUGAUGUAAGAGUUUAAAUUAUUUUUAUUGAAUGUCAGUGUAAAAUUAAUUUACGGUGCAUAUAUCUUUAAAACUACAUCGCGUGAUUUGAUUGAAUGCACGUGUGAAAAUACUUUACACUAUCGAAAAUGACUGUGACGAAACACCGUUAUGCCG
This 1467-nucleotide long non-coding RNA is filed under the name Trifolium pratense (red clover). Its description in RNAcentral is "long non-coding RNA (TPRA_LNC008768)". The record is from RNAcentral. Lineage: Eukaryota; Viridiplantae; Streptophyta; Magnoliopsida; Fabales; Fabaceae.